RNAcentral lists this small RNA (547 nucleotides) under Pan troglodytes (chimpanzee). Its description in RNAcentral is "processed transcript". The record is from RNAcentral. Lineage: Eukaryota; Metazoa; Chordata; Mammalia; Primates; Hominidae.
CUGUGGAGCUGAUGAAAUCCUGCAGGGAGCUUCACGGUGACAGCAAGAGGAGAAACACAUCCCCAUAUGCCCCUCAGAGUUUGAAGUCCCGGCUGCACCUCUCCCCAGCAGCAGGUUGACUCUGGAAAGUUGCAGUGUUCUUACCUGCAGAGUGGGAACAGUACUACCCAUUGCACAGAGUGGGUGCAAAGCUCCAUGACGGAAUACAUGGAUUCUUUGCCCAUAAAGUGGAGCACGAAAGCAGGACCCAGAAUGGGAGGAGCUUCCAGAGGACCGGAACACUUGCCUUUGAGCGGGUCUACACUGCCAAGUGAGUCCUAACCCUGAUGUUGCUAACAAGUGGGGGCAUGGGCAGGGGGGCCUCCUUCUAGGAGUGAUGACCACCCUUAAUACCACAUGUCUGUCUGAGCCAAGUUUCUGAGCGCCAGGGAGGUGAGGAAGGUUGGACUUCACCAGAGAGGCUUUGUGGACACCCUUUAUCAUCUUAGUGAGUGCUAGUGUCAAAAGAAAGGGAGUGGGGAUAUGGGGCACAUUGGUGGAGGGAGGU